This 40417-nucleotide long non-coding RNA is filed under the name Arachis ipaensis. Its description in RNAcentral is "long non-coding RNA (AIPA_LNC000218)". Lineage: Eukaryota; Viridiplantae; Streptophyta; Magnoliopsida; Fabales; Fabaceae. The record is from RNAcentral.
ACUCAAAUCUUCCCCUUCUUCCCGCCUCACCCACGUAACCCUCCAAACCGGGACAAAACACUACAUGGGUCCAAUCUUUGACCCGGCCCGGUCAACUCAACUCCUGAGCCAUGAUCCCCCGUUUCACGAGGACAUGCCCCGACUACCGUACCCAAACUUCUACUACGCUCAGGAGGAUCUCCUUGCGUCCCACGCGCCUUCUCUGACGUACUCCGUUCACCGAUCCUCCAUCAUAAUUGGCGCGUCUUCAAGGAGUGCAAUCAACACGCUGGUUAUGCUUGGGGCUUAUGCCGCGGUUUGCCGCCACCUUACGUUGCCGUUUCGUUACCAAGGAACACGGUACACGUGGGAGCAUUUUUGCGACAUGACAGACUCCGAGGUUUUAGCGGAGCAGCACGUGUGGGCUGCGGUUACGGAUAAGGCCAAUAAUGAAGCGUUCAAUUGCACCAACGGCGACUUGUUUACGUGGAAGAGAAUGUGGAAAGUGCUGAGUGAGGUUUUUGAUGUUGAGUUUGUUGGGUUUGACGAGAAUGAUGAAGAUAGGGUUGAUGUGGUGGAGUUUAUGAGAGACAAAGACGAGAUUUGGGAUGAGAUUGUGGAAAAGUAUGGACUUGUGAAGACUAAGCUAAAGGAGUUUGCAUAUUAUGAAGCCUUGAAAGUCGUCUUACAUUUUGACUUUCAACAUGUGUCUAGCAUGAAUAAGAGUAAGGAAUAUGGUUUCUUUGGCCACGCCAACACCUUCAAAAGGGUCACAUUCUGGGUUCGCAAACUGCGUUUCAUGAAGAUUAUACCCUAGCCACAGUAAUAUAGAUAGAAAACUGCGUUACAGGUGGCACUUAGCAGGUAGCCUUAUUAGCCUAUUGUUAUGUUGAAAAUAAAACGCAACAAGCUAGGGGAUUCCGUUUAUUCCAGUAAUUAACUACAACUAUCUGAUGAACUUUGAUCAACUACUAUUGAAAGCAGAUCCAUUUGAUGUUAGAAACUUCUUAUUUUAUUUAUUUUUUGAGAAUUAUCCUCUCAUUAUAGAAUGGUGUCUAGCCCGGCCUUUUUGAAAGUUCAUAUAUUAUCAGUUGAAUGUUAUGGUAUCUAAAAAGUGGUGUCUAUUUACUAAAAAUAGUAAAAAAUUAAUAUUUAAUUUAAAAAAUAUAAAAGUAGCUAAAUAUAUAUUUUAUUUACCUAUCUCUUAAGCAAAAAUUAAGUGAAACGAAAUUCAUUAAUCUUCUAAGAUUAAAAAUAUUUUUCUUUCAAAAUGAUAUAAUAAAUAAUGCUGACGUGUGAUUGUGUGAAUAUUGGGUUAAAAAAUUAAAAAAUUAUUAUAAUUUAUUAUUUUUUAUUAACAUUUAGUUAUUAAUUUAAUUUUUUUAAUUUAUUUUUUUUGUUUAAUAAUUUAACAACAUAUUUUAUUUUAUAUUUUUAAAUCUUAAAUAUUAGAAUUAUUCUCCGCGUUCAAAUAAUUUUAAUAUACAAGUUCAUCCAACCAAUUUUAGAUCAUGCGCUUUUUUUUUUGUUUUCUUCUCCUUUUACGCUGCUACUUCUUCUUCUUCUUGUUUUAAAUUCACGCAUGUCGUUAUCGUCAUCGUCCUUAUUGUAAUUGUUAUUGCUGAAUUUUUGCCAUAUUGAUGAUGUUGUCUGAUCCAAAAUUGAUUUUAGAUAUGUUUCUGUUCACGAUUCAGCCUUGUUUGUGUGCUUAUUUUCGAAUUGAGUUUUUGUGUCGCAAUCAUUAUGACAUUAUGUAAUUUCGGUUUAUUUCUGAGUUAAUUGUGUCGCAAUUUUUAUGUAAUUUCAGUUCAUUUCUGAGUUAAUUAUAUUGCAGUAGUCCAUUAAGUAAUUUCGGUUCAUUUCUGAGUUAAUUGUGUCGCAGUCAUUAUAUAAUUUCGGUUCAUUUUUGAGUGAAUUAAGGUACAUUUAGACUCAUUGUCCUGCACAAUUUAAAACUCUUUCUCCUCAUCUUCUACUGCUUCUUCUUGAUCUUUUUCUUCUUCAUUUUCACCCUCUUAUUUUAUUUUCUCAAAAUUCUUUUUGAUUUACUCUCUUGAGAGGGAUAAAAUCAAGAAAAAGAGAAGAAAAUAUCAAACAAAAAAGAAGAAGAAACAUAUUAAUGACAUUGUUUGAUCCAAAAUUGAUUUUGAAUGUAUUUUUAUUCAUGAUUUAGUCUUGUUUGUGUGCUUAUUUUCGAACUAAGUUUGUGUCUCAAUCAUUAUGGUAAAUUUUGGUUUAUUUUUUAGUUAAUUGUGUCGUAAUUGUUAUGUAAUUUCGGUUCAUUUCUGAGUUAAUUGUGUCGCAAUCCAUUAUAUAAUUUCGGUUCAUUUCUAAGUUAAUUGUGUCGCAAUUGUUAUAUAAUUUCGGUUCAUUUCUAAGUGAAUUAAGGUGCAUUUGGACUCGUUAUCCUGCACAAUUCUUAAGAGGAAUAAAACAAAAAAGAAGAAGAAAAUAUCAAACAAAAAAGAAGAAGAAACAUAUUAAUGACGUUGUUUGAUCCAAAAUUGGUUUUGGAUGUAUUUUUGUUCAUGAUUUAGUCUUGUUUGUACACUUGUUUUCAAACUGAGUUUAUGUAUCGCAAUCAUUAUGGUAAAUUUCGGUUCAUUUCUGAGUUAAUUGUAUCGCAAUUGCUAUGUAAUUUCGAUUCAUUUCUGAGUUAAUUAUGUCGCAAUUAUUAUAUAACUUCGGUUCAUUUCUGAGUGAAUAAUUAAGGUGCAUUUAGACUCGUUUUCCUGCACAAUUCAAAACUAUUUCUCCUCUUCCUCCUUCACUUUCUAUUAUAAUAACAGCAAUAACAACAUUAACAAAAGAAUGACGAUGAGAAAAAAAUAUGCGAAUAAGAAGAAGAACGAGAAAGAAAAAGAGCAGGAGGAGAAUGAGAAGGAGAAUGAAAAGGAACAGAAGGAGGAGAAGAAACGCGAAAAAGAAGAGAGACAACUAACGUAAAUGGUGUGCGCGUGUAAUCACGCUCUUUGUAAUGAGAGUAGUUUUUGUUAGUGUUGGGCCUAUUUGGUUGAAUUUGGAUGACAAUAUUAUUUAGAUGUGUAGCAAAUAUAUAAAUAUUAGAGGAAUGCUAGGGGGCCAGUAAUUUUGGUAUUUUGUAACCAUCAAUUGGCCAUCAAUAGUGUUUUUAAUAGUGUGAGAUUAUAUUUAAUGGUGAGAAAUUACUCACUUUUGUUUUGAUGGUUAAGUGCUUGCCAGAAAAUACAAAAGUUGUUGGCCCCUAGACUUUUCCUAAAUAUUAAUGGUUAAAUAAUGACCAAAAAUAAUAAAUUCUAAUAAUUUUCUAUUAUUUUUAUAAAAAAAAUAUUNNNNNNAUAUCACCCUAAAUUAAGUCCGGUUAAUAAUUAAAUUUAGAUUCCUAUGAAAAUAAUUAAAUAAGUAAUCCUCUACUUUUACUUUUGUACAACAGACAAAGCCUAUAGUUGAUAAGUUUAUAUAUCAUGGUGGUUUAGGUUAAGAGGUUUUUUUAAGUGUCUCACAUAUACUAAUAAUGCGAUUAGAAAAGAAAGACAGAAGGUUACUUGAACAAGUAUUUUUAUACUAAAUUUCAUUUUUUUAAUCUUUAAUCUGAAGACUUAAUUAAACAUCGUUAUAAAUCUGAAACCACUGUAAAUUUAUAUCCACGACCCCGGCUACCCGGGUCCGACCCACACCUCGCUCAAAAGGCCCAAAAACCGGCCUUCCAAAGAGCUCCUAACCAACUUUCGAAUUCACUCGUCCAUAUUAUCUUAACCAGAUAAGAUAAGAUAAGAUACUCAUCACCACCUAUAAAUAGGGGACCCAAGCCCCUCUAGGUAAUCAUCAAUUCCACACACCUUAUACCUCUCAGAUCCAUUCUGACUUGAGCGUCGGAGUGUCUUUGCAGGUACCUCCCCCAUUGCUCCAGUCAAGCGACCCAGCUUCGGCCUUGACCCGCAGGUUCCCGAUCCACCUUUCAAACCCGUACCAGAGACAUCACGUACAUUGGCGCCGUCUGUGGGGAUCUUGCGCCAGCCGAGCCGGACGGGGGACGCCCUGGAGGAAACCCCCUCAAGCCAGGAUGACUCCCAACCGCUUCACCCAACCCCAGAACACCGGGAGGUCACGAACCAAGCAAGAAUAGCAAGUACUGUCCACCACACGAACGACCACGUCGUCACGGACCAACGACAUCCUGAGAAAGCUAGGGACAAAGCGACGCAGAUCAUCCAGGACCUCUGCCUCCGAGUCCAGGAGCUCGAAGGCAAACUGACCAAUAGAGAAAAACACAACAACGAACACGGAAGCUAGGCAACUUCCAGAUCAAGAUCUCGCCGCGGCAGGUCCCCAACCCGACGGCCCGAUAGGAGAGACGGUCGCAGCGCCUCACGCGACCACGGUCACGAGAAAUCGCCGGAACGGCAGUACAACAAGAAACACAACCGCAGUGCUUCCCGAGAUCUAAGUCGUCAACGCGACUCAGACGAAGAUCGGAGGUACCGAAAUACCAAGCGCACAAGAAACGACCACACAAUAAUGGGAGCUACACCUUUCACAGAAAGAAUCCUGAGAGCGAAACUCCGCAAAGGUUUCGACAAACCUACCGACAUGAAGUACGAUGGGACCAAGGACCCCCAGGAACAUCUAACGGCCUUCGAGGCCAGGAUGAACCUAGAAGGAGCGGCCGACGCGGUCCGAUGCAGAGCCUUCCCGGUAACCCUUGCAGGACCGGCAAUCAAAUGGUUCAACGCCCUCCCAAACGGAUCCAUAGCCACUUUCCACGAUAUAACACGAAAGUUCAUGGCCCAAUUCACAACUAGAAUCACCAAAGCCAAGCACCCCAUCAGCUUGCUAGGGGUCACGCAAAAACAAGAAUAAUCCACAAGGAAAUACCUCGACCGCUUCAACGACGAAUGCCUAACGAUCGACGGACUCACGGAUUCCAUCGCAAGCCUUUGCUUAACCAACGGACUCAUAAACGAAGAUUUUCGCAAACACCUCACCACCAAACCAGUAUGGACCAUGCACGAGAUCCAGAAUGUCGCGAAAGAUUACAUCAAUGACGAAGAAGUCAGCCAGGUUGUCGCCGCCAACAAACGGCAACACGGCAACACCCAACACGGCAACUCGGCUUCUCGCCAAAAUGCACCACCCAAAGAGAAUCAAAGGGACCACCCCAAACUGACAAAUACAAACCGACCACCGAGAAUCGGCAAAUUCUCUAAUUACACGCCCCUGACAGCACCAAUUACCGAAAUAUACCACCAAAUAGCAGAUCGAGGCAUCAUUCCGAAAGCCCGACAACUCAAAGAAAGGACGGGAGGCAACAAAACCCUCUACUGCGACUACCACCGAGGUUACGGUCACAGAACACAAGAUUGUUUCGACCUUAAAGACACCCUCGAACAAGCCAUACGAGACGGCAAACUCCCAGAAUUUGCCAAAAUCAUCAGAGAACCAAGACGUGCAGAAAGAGACAGGUCGCCGGAAAAAGACGGGCGUAACCCGAGAACCCAUAAGCAACCCCCCAGGGAAAGCUCAGAAGACGACCCGACCAUCAUAGUAAACGUCAUCACGGGCAAGGACAUAUCAAGCAAGUCGAAACUAAUGAUGAAAAAAGAUCUCAAAGUAAUGGCUGUCAGAAACCAGACUCCAACCAUUGCAGCCGACAACACGAUAACCUUCUUACCAGAGGAUUGCCAGCACGGCACCUCGGCCGAAGAUGCCCCCUUCGUCAUCUCGGCCAGAAUCGGAACAGGACUAGUACGAAGGAUACUGGUGGACACCGGGGCGGACUCGAACAUCCUCUUCCGAGGAGCCUUCGACAAGCUCGGGCUCCACAACGACAACCUCCAAACACACCGCAACGGCGUCACGGGACUCGGAGACAACUUUCUCAAACCAGACGGCUCAAUCACCCUUCCCAUCACCAUAGGAACAAGCAACCAAAAGAAGACAGUCCUAUCUGAAUUUGUAGUCCUAAAAGACUCCACAGCCUAUAACGUGAUUCUCGGAAGAAAAACAAUCAACGACUUCUCCGCAGUCAUCUUUACCAAAUACCUCCUCAUGAAGUUUAGAACCGACGACGGCUCCGUCGGUACCAUCCACGGGGACCGAGAAGUCGCAGCCGAAUGCGACAACACCAGCCUAGCUCUAAGGAAGAAAUCCCGAGAUGCGGCCGAGGUAUUCCUGGCCGACCUGGAUGCCCGCCAAGACGACCAACCCAGGCCAGAACCAGAAGGAGACAUGGAAAAGCUACAGAUAGGGCCAACCAAGGAGGAAUACACCUUCAUUAAUAGGAACCUCCCAUACGAUCUUAAAGAAGAACUCUCCCAACUCCUGAAGAAAAAUAGAGACUUGUUCGCAUUUACACCAGCCGACAUGCCGGGAAUAAACCCCGACCUUAUGUCCCACCGGCUAGCCGUNNNNNNNNNNNNNNNNNNNNNNNNNNNNNNNNNNNNNNNNNNNNNNNNNNNNNNNNNNNNNNNNNNNNNNNNNNNNNNNNNNNACGUCGUACUAGUAAAAAAAUCUAACGGGAAAUGGCGAAUGUGCGUCGACUACACGGACCUCAACAAAACCUGCCCGAAGGACGCCUUCCCCUUACCAAACAUCGACGGAUUGGUAGACGCCGCAUCCGGCCACCGAUACCUCAGCUUCAUGGACGCAUAUUCCGGCUACAACCAGAUCCCGAUGCACCAACCAGACGAAGAAAAAACAGCGUUCAUCACCCCAGACGGGACAUACUGCUACACAGUGAUGCCCUUCGGCCUGAAAAACGCUAGAGCCACCUAUCAAAGACUUGUCAACAAGAUAUUUCAAAACCUAUCCGGAAGCAAACUAGAAGUCUACAUAGACGACAUGCUCGUCAAGACCGAAUCCGGCGAGCAACUCACCAACGACCUUAAGGUCAUAAUGAACACUCUACGAAAGCACCAAAUGUGACUCAACCCGGCAAAAUGUGCCUUCGGGAUGGAGGCAUGGAAGUUCCUCGGCUUUAUGAUCACGCAACGCGGAGUCGAAGCAAACCCAGAGAAAUGUCGCGCCAUCCUCGAAAUGACGAGCCCAAAAAACCUUAAAGACAUCCAAAAGCUCACCGGCCGAUUGACGGUGUUAUCACGCUUUCUCGGGGCAUCGGCUCAAAAAGCGAUCCCUUUCUUCAAACUAAUGAAAAAAGGGGCCCCUUUCAAGUGGGAGACGGAAUGCGAAGAAGCGUUCCAACAUUUCAAGAGAGUCUUAGCGGAACCACCAAUCCUCGCCAAACCCCAGACAGAGGAAACACUCUACCUGUACCUCUCCAUAACGGAGGAGGCACUCGCAGCAGCGCUCAUCCGUGAAAACGAGAAAAAAAGAAUAAAAACCCGUAUACUUCAUAAGCAGAGUCUUACAGGAUGCGGAAGCUCGCUACUCACGCUUAGAAAAACUAGCUUUCGCACUCCUCAUAGCCUCCCGGCGCCUACGACAAUACUUCCAAGCUCAUUCCGUGACGGUCCGAACCGACCAAGCGGUCAAACAGGUACUACAAAAACACGACCUAGCGGGCAGAAUGCUAGCAUGGUCCAUCGAACUAUCCCAGUUCGAUAUCAAGUUCGAACCCUGAUACGCGAUCAAAGCACAAGCCAUGACCGACUUUAUCGCCGAAAUAACACCAGGAGACUCCACCCCCGAAUCAUGGAAGCUAUACGUUGACGGCUCCUCGAACAUCACUUCCGGAGGCGCCGGAGUCAUUCUCGAAAGCCAAAAUGGAGUCGUGAUCGAACAGUCAGUACGAUACAAAUUCCCAGUCUCAAACAACCAGGCAGAAUACGAGGCCCUCUUGGAGGCCUAGCCCUAGCCCGGGAAGUCGGAGCAAAGGUCCUAGAAGUAAAUACCGAUUCGCAGGUAGUCAGCUCCCAAAUUAACGGAGACUACCAGACACGAGAUCCCCUACUCCAACAAUACCUCACCAAGGUAAACAAACUAAAAGAAGGAUUCGAGCACGUUACCAUACAGCACGUUCCUAGGGAACGAAACGCCAGGGCAGACCUACUUUCCAAACUAGCCAGUACCAAACCAGGACACGGCAACAAAUCGCUAAUCCAGAAAGUCGUUAAAUCACCCUCCGUGUCAACGAUGACCAACGCUCCUCUGACACUCUCGAACCAGGGAUCUUGGACCUACCUUAUCCUACAGUACCUCCUUGACGGAACACUGCCGCCGGAUCCCAAAGAGGAAAAAUGAAUAAAAAGGGAAGCCGCCAACUAUACAGUUGUCACAGGACAGCUAUACAAACGUGGACUCUCGCAACCCCUGCUCAAAUGUGUCGAACCUGAGAACACAGAGUACAUACUUCACGAAAUCCACGAAGGCUGCUGCGGCCACCACGUCGGAGGCAAAACAUUAGCCCAAAAAGUCAUCAGGGCAGGCUGCUUCUGGCCCACGGUUAUCCGGGAUUCCAUACAAAUAGUUAAAAUCUGCGACAAAUGCCAAAGGCACGCCAAUAUCCACUAAGCCGCCCCACACCAGCUCAGCAUCAUAUCGGCAGAACGGCCGUUCGGCACCUGGGGGAUCGACCUCGUCGGACCCUUCCCUACAGCACCCGGUCAACUCAGGUACCUCAUCGUCGCCAUAGACUACUAUACCAAAUGGAUCGAAGCCGAACCCCUGGCCUCCAUAACGGCAACCCAAUGCCGAAAAUUUCUCUGGCGACAGAUCAUCACCCGAUUCGGGAUCCCCGAGAUCAUUAUCUCGGACAACGGAACCCAAUUUGUUGACAAAAAGUUCAGAGAAUUUUUGGAAGGGCUACAUGUAUCUCACCGUUUCAGCUCGGUAGAACACCCCCAAACAAAUGGACAGGUGGAAUCCGCAAACAAAAUAAUCGUCAAAGGACUCAAAAAGCGGCUCGACGAAGCCAAAGGACUAUGGGCCGACGAACUCGGAUCGGUCCUAUGGUCAUACCGAACCACACCUCAAACGACCACGGGAGAAACACCUUUCCGAUUAACAUACGGAGUGGAGGCGGUCAUCCCGGUAGAAAUCGGAGACCCAAGCCCCAGAAAAACGGUCGGCGGUUACGACGAGGAAGCAGAACGAGAUCUCAUCGACGAAGAAAGAAGCAUAGCUCAUAUCAAAAGAGCUAGCCCUAAAACAGAGAAUCAGCUUAAGAUACAACCAUGGCGUCGUCCGACGAGAAUUCGCAACCGACGACCUCGUCCUACGACGAAACGAUAUCGGUCUCCCGACCCCAGGAGAAGGGAAACUCACUCCCAAAUGAGAAGGACCAUACAGAAUAAAGGCGGUAAUCGGAAAGGGAGCAUAUAAACUCGAACGACUUAACGGCGAUGAAGUCCCAAGGACCUGGAACGCCUCCAAUUUACGGCGAUACUACACUUAGGCCGACCUAACUAGGUCACCCCCUUGUCCUUUAUUUAUUUAUAUACCUUCCCAUUUUACGACUCUUGAAUUUUAAUUUUCGCUNUGGAGGGUUUUAACGAGGCCCAACCAUUAAUAAAAAUUCCAUUAAAAGCUAUUUCUACCUUUCUAAAGUGUCCCAAAUACGGAACAAAGUCACGGCCACAACCGGGGGACUGAUCACCCCCCAGGCCCAACACACGGAUAUCCAAGAAAAACCCGACCAAACGGCGGGCCAAGGGAACGAAUAAAACACACGGAACAGCUUAAAACGGAACAUACCAAAGGCUCGAACGGCCAAAAAUACUUUGAAACGGAACAUACAAAAGGCCUGAACGGCCGAAAAUACCAUUAAGCGGAGUCCAAUGUUACGAAGUAAACAAUUACACGGCCCCUGGCCAUCCAAAAUAUUCAAAACAGUUCAAAAUAAAAUCCAAAAAACAAAGAUAGAAAACUACUCGAGGUCGACAAUCUGGCCGUCGCGAACAGUCUUAAAAGCUCCCAUCACGGACACAUCCACAUCCGGAGCCAACACUAAAGCCUGAGCCCUCAUAGUCUCCUCAGUAGCUGCAAUCGCAUCCUUUGCAUCAGCCAGUAACUCCGUCUUCUCCUUCUUUAAGGCAACAACCUCGGCCUUCAAAGUCUCCGACUCACUGAGAAGUACGGCAGCCUGAGAACCCGCAUCAGAAGCCCACUGCCGCUCCUCUGCCAAUUGAGAAAGAAGCGAAGUCUCGACCUCGGAAAGUCGGAGAAUCUCCGCCCCGGCUUCCUCAGAGGACUUCACCGCCCUCUCCCUCGCAACUUUGGCAGCCUCAAGCUUCUCCUUCAGCUUAGCCACCUCAGCCUGAGAGUGGCGGAGCUUCUUAUCCAACAAACCGACCUGAGCCAUCACGGGCUCAGCUUUCCGAACAACAACGGCAGACCGAAGGAGAGCACGAUACACCGACUUGGCCUGGAACGAAACAUCACAGCCAUCAAAAAACGGCUCCGUACCAGGCAUCAAGUAUUGAUCAAUGAACCCCGGGGCAUCGAAACGUCGAUCCAUCACGCUAGGCACAAGACCCUCAUCCUUAAAAGUCUCGUUGCUCGGCUCCUCAGACCUCUUUCUCUUCCGAGAAGCCUCAGCAGCUGUCACCACGACGACCUCAGGUGAGUUCGCAGGACCAGGAGAAAUCUGAGCAUCGGUCCGCACACCCGAAGAAACUACCUCUUGAGAAGCAGCCUGAGACCCCACGGCGGGAUUGGAAACAGGAGUAGCCGGAGACGACGACCCCUCCUCCCGGCCCAUCGCCGCCUUCAGCCGUGCUAAGGAAGUCAAACCACCAGCCAUCUCAACUGAAAGAAAACAAAAAAACAAUCCCAAGUUACAAAAACGGAAAAACAAAACAUAAAUACCAAGAAAAGGACAGACACACACCAACAUAUGACCGACAAGCAACCGGAUCUCCCAUCACAUCCCGAGGAUUAAGAGGGCGAUCCCCAAACAAUUGCCACAAUACAAGAGCGACAUCCCAUUCCUCCGAAGUCAGGAACUCUUGCGUAACCCGAGUAAAAAUCGACGGCCCCGCCUUAAAAUUCCAAUAGGUAGGAAACCGCCGCUCACCCUCCAAUGUCAACCAAAAAGGAUGAUGCCCUCUUGCGAGACGAACCUUAAAAUAUUCACUCUUAAAACCAUGAAAGGAAUCUUCAUACAAACCGAAGACCCGACGAUGAGGCUGAGCUCUAAAAGACACAUACCCCUUCUUAUGCUUCCCCUCCUUGGUCGGAAGGGUACACAAGAAGAGGAAAAGAAAAACGUUCACCGAAGCAGGAAGCUCCAAAAAAUCGCAAACAAGCUCGAAAGACCGUAUUGCCGCCCAGCUAUUCGGAUGUAGCUGGAACGGCGCCACGGAGCACCGGCUCAAUAACUGCUGAACAAAUGGAGAAAAGGGGAGCCAAACGCCAAGCCGGGUAAACAUCGCCUCGUAGACCCACAUCUAAUCCGGCACACUCGGGGAGUCCAGAUUGGUAUAGCAAACCCUCUCGUCAACCCCAGGGAGGAAAAGCUCGUAAUGGCGUUCGGCGUCACCACCCCCACAAACAGCUCCUUGAUCACGGAGCCGUUGGAGGUCCUCCUCCGUCAUCCGCGACGGCGUCCCCCACACGUCACUAGUGACCCAAGAGAAAAGGUCGGGGACACCCCCCGCCGGGGCCACCGGAUCCCUCACACCUUCAGUCCUUCGACGAGCCCAUACCUAAAAUAGCGACGAACACCACCGUCAGCCAAACCCCGCGGCAGAAAACGGUGGAUCAAACCAAACAGACACCACUAGACACCACCAAUUAUACGGUGGCGCUCGCCCCCCUUACAAAACCCACUACCCCAACAAGAACUAUCUACCAUAAUACAAUGCCAUCAUACACAAAAAAAAAAAAACAAUUCUAACCUACACUAAGCAGAGACAAAACAAAAUAAAGGAAGACAAAGCAUAAAUCACAAGAGGAAACAAAAAGAAGCAGAAGAGCACCAACCUGAUAAAUGCAAGGAAAUAAAUCAGAGGAGAAAAUGCCACGGCAGAAGAUCAACCAAAGCCACAGAAUGCGAAAGGAAAAGAAGAAAAAACUCUUUCGGAGAAGAAAAGAGAAAUGAAGAGGGAACUAAAGGAAGAAAGAAACGAAGAGGGAACUAAAGGAAGAAAACCAAAACGGUUUCGAAAAAAGCAAAAUAACGCAAAUACCCCUGAAAAGAAAAGGAAACAUAAGGGCAAUAGAGGAAAACGUCCCCUCACAAUAAAUGCCCCCUCGGAAAGAGAAACUAAUAAAUCGCGCCUCAAAGAACGCAACGGGCGCAGCAGACACGGAAGAGUCAUGACAAACCAAAACGGUCAGACGAAUCUUCCACGGAACGAAACCGAGGCGCCGACCUCCUCUCAAAAGAACCAAACGACCUUUCGAGAAAGGCCAAAAGCCUAGCCCACGGUAAAAGUAAUAUCUCCCAGCGACAGACCGACCUCGCUCGCUCUCCCGCUGCGGGGGCAACUGUUACGGAUCUGAACCACAGAUCCCGGACCAGGGACUGCACCCGACCCCGGCUACCCGGGUCCGACCCAUACCUCGCUCAAAAGGCCCAAAAACCGACCUUCCAAAGAGCUCCUAACCAACUUUCGAAAUCACCCGUCCAUCUUAUCUUAACCAGAUAAGAUAAGAUAAGAUACUCAUCACCACCUAUAAAUAGGAGACCCAAGCCCCUCCAGGUAAUCAUCAAUUCCACACACCUUAUACCUCUCAGAUCCAUUCUGACUUGAGCGUCGGAGUGUCUUUGCAGGUACCUCCCCCCAUUGCUCCAGUCAAACGACCCGGCUUCGGCCUUGAUCCGCAGGUUCCCGAUCCACCUUUCAAACCCGUACCAGAGACAUCACGUACAUAAUAUACAAUUGAUUAUUGUAUAUUUACAUUAAAAAUACAUUAAAAAAUAAAUUUUAAAAGAAUAUAUUUAAUAAAAAAAAUUAAGACUCAGCAUUAUUAGUGCUAACUUAGGCUUCUGCACUGUAACCAUAGUUAAAUUAUGAGGUGUUCUUUUUGGUAUGAAAUUAGUUUUUUUCAUAUAUAUUUUUUCAAUCUCUCCAUUGAAAUAGUUUCAAAAGCUACAGUUUUGUUAUGCUUGUAAGAAAAUUAUGACCUUCAUGUAUCUCGAGCUAUUAUUGCAGUUAUUAAAAACAGGUUCAUCAGAUUCUUAAGUUAAGAGCUUCAUCAUGUUUUUUCGUGAAAUAAAUGUUUGUACUGAUCAUGUAGCGACCAAAAGACAUAAUUCACUAUUUAGUAGUCAUUUCUUUUAUAAUUUAUCAUCCUGUUUUUCUUUUUGUUUUGUCUGAUACCAUGGGCACCUUUUUUUUUUAAAUAGUUUCUGUGCAGUGUCGUUGGAUUUUAGCCCCGUUGAUCAUAAAAAAAAAUAUUACAAAGUUAAUAUUACAGUCAAUAUUUAACACACACACACAAAAUUUAAAACUCUUAAAAAUUAUAAUAUUUAAAACUCGGUUAAAAAAUUUUUAUAAUCCAAACUUAAUAAAUUCAUUUUUAUUCAUUUUUAUUAAGACUCUUUUGGCAACCUUUACCGACUACAAUAUUAGGUCCUUUAGAUGAUAUCAUUGUCUUUUAAUAAUGAGUAAUUAUCUAAAUCAUCGGUCUUUUGAAAUUUUUAAAAUUGGAUACUUUAGUUCUCAAAUUUUAAAAUGUACAAAAUAGUUCAAUAGGUAUUUCAAAUGUUUGUGAUACAAAGAGUUUAAGUAUUAUUUAAAAUUUAUUAGUUUAUAUUUUUAGAAUGUUCAAUUUAAUUUGAUAUAUUUUAAUUUUAUUUAUUUAGUUAUUGAAUUAGAUUUUAUGUUUUUGGGUUUAGAAUUUUCUUUGUUUUAACUUAAUAAGAAAUUAUAAAUACCUCAUAAACUAUUGUAGUUAUCAUACGAAGAGAUUAAAAAAGUGACAAAUCACUUUUUGGUUUCGUGAUGAAAUUAUAGUAUAAACAAGUAAGGUUGAAUGAGUCUCUGUUUUGUUACAUAAGGAAAUUGAGCAGAAGGUAGGUUAAAUGAGUCUCUCUGAUUCAAUUUUCAAAUUAUAGUGUGGACAAGUUAAGUUGAGGAAUCUCUUUUUUGUAAAAUGAAGAAAUUGGAUAGAAAGUAGAGUAAUUUUUUUAUAUUCAAUUUCAAUCUAUCUUUUUGUUUUCUAUUUUCUAUUUUUAAUUUCAAUUCAUCUUUUUUAUUUCAAUUUUUAUCUUCUUGUUUAUUAUUAGUUGUCAUUUCGUAUCACGGUCUCCAACGUUUAUUUCCAUUAAACAAUACAAUCUCCUUGCGUUAGUCAACGACGACAACAAUGGUUGAAACGUUAACUCACGUACGUGAUCAUUAAAUAUCCACAUGUGCACUUUAGACAAACCAGUCUCUAAAAUAAAAUACAAAACAAUAUCCAAAAAAUUUAAAUAAUUUCAAAAUAAUUCCCGNNNNNNNNNNNNNNNNNNNNNNNNNNNNNNNNNNNNNNNNNNNNNNNNNNNNNNNNNNNNNNNNNNNNNNNNNNNNNNNNNNNNNNNNNNNNNNNNNNNNNNNNNNNNNNNNNNNNNNNNNNNNNNNNNNNNNNNNNNNNNNNNNNNNNNNNNNNNNNNNNNNNNNNNNNNNNNNNNNNNNNNNNNNNNNNNNNNNNNNNNNNNNNNNNNNNNNNAAAAAAAUAUAAAUAAUUUAAAAUAAAUGAAGCCAUAUAUUACUUUUGACUAUACAAAAUAUUACUUUAAAUUUUUAAGGAACUACUGUUGCUCACAUACAUAAACACUUGAUGAUUAUAUGUAUAAGUUAACGUUUCACGUAACUAAUGAAAAUGAAGGAAAUUGUAUUACUAUUAUCUAACAGAAAUAAUAAUUGAAAAUUAUUUUAUGUAUUUAAAAUUAAUGUCUAAAUUUAAAAAUUUCGAACUGAUUUAGCAAUUCCUCCUUGAUAAUAAUAUACCAAAAAUUUAUACUUUUUUGNNNNNNNNNNNNNNNNNNNNNNNNNNNNNNNNNNNNNNNNNNNNNNNNNNNNNNNNNUACACUAACAAUUUGAUGAUAAUUCAAAAUAGAAUUGAUUUUUAUAUAAAAAAAAUAUUAAAUUAGUAAUUAAUGAUUUUUUUUAGUGACUAAGGAUCUUUUACAUUUAGUGAGAGGUCUUUGGUUCAACAUUCACUUAAAAUAUAUUUUUAUAUAAGUAUAUAAUAUAUACAUAUAUAGAGUGCGGGUUGGUCGGAUGAAACUCAACCUGCACCCUACCUACCCACACAAAAAUCCUAUCCGCAUCCUACCCUAUCAACAGCAGAUCGAAUUGACAACCCUACCCAAUCGAAUAGGAUCAGAUUAAAUACCCGCGAGUAGGUACAUAUUCCCACCCUUCGUACCGUAAAAGGUUUAAGACAUAAGGGGCUCAAAAAAUUUACAAAGGUAUGCUGUGGCAACAACUAAAAAAGCAAAACGACGUUCACUUCAUAACAAAUGGAGAUAUUUUUUUAUAUCCCCAGUUCCCUCCGGCUCUCAGCCUCUGACACACAUCCCAAUAAUAAUAAUGAUAAUAAUAAUAAUAAUAAUAAAAGGAUUAUAAGGCUACACUCUCUGCUCCUUUUCUCCAGUUAGGUAUUUACUUAGCUUGAUCAGUUGUCAAAUCUCAUGGAGAAGCAGAACCACCAACCCUCCGUCGUAGCACUUGUCGUUGGAGUCACAGGCAUGGCUGGUCUCAGCCUAGCCCAGGCCCUAAAGCACCCCGAUUGCCUUGGAGGCCCAUGGAAGGUUUAUGGCGCCGCCCGAUCCCAGCCCACUUGGUUCCCUCCUUCCACCGUUGACCACUUCAUCGCAUUCGACGCCGUUGACUCCGCCAGCACGCACUCCAACCUCUCCCCCAUAGCUCACGAGGUCACCCACCUCUUCUGGGUCACCGUUCAGUUCCCCGGCGACGAAGAAGCCAACGUCGCCGUCAACACAACAAUGCUCCACAACGUCCUCACCACCCUCAAAUCCUCACCUUCUUCCCGGCUAAGCCACGUCACCCUCCAAACCGGGACUAAACACUACAUGGGCCCAAUCCAAGACCCCACCCGGUCCAACCAACUCGUUGGCCACGAACCACCUUUUCACGAGGACAUGCCCCGACUCCCUUACCCGAAUUUCUACUACGCGCUGGAGGACCUCCUUGCAUCCCACGCGCCAUCACUUACCUACUCAGUGCACCGCUCGUCCAUUAUAAUUGGCGCGUCUUCAAGAAGCGGCCACAACGCGCUUGUUAUGGUGGGUGCUUACGCCGCGGUAUGCCGGCACCUGGGAGUGCCGUUUCGGUACCCGGGGAACCGGUACACGUGGGAGCAUUUCUGUGACAUGACGGAUGCACGUGUGCUGGCGCAGCAGCACGUGUGGGCUGCGGUUACCGAGAAGGCCAAGAACGAAGCGUUUAACUGCAUGAACGGAGAUUUGUUCACGUGGAAGAGCAUGUGGAAAUUUUAUAGUGAAGUUUAUGAUGUUGAGUUCAAAUUCUAUCGCACCGCUAUAAGACCGGCUAUGUUUUAUGAUACAGAAUUUUUGGCGGCUAAAGGGGAGUACGAGUAUAAGUUGAGUGUGGCAGAGAUAAAAAUGUUGAGAUGGAUGAGUGGUCAUACGCGAUUGGAUAAAAUAAGGAACGAAGAUAUAAGAGAGAGAGUUGGAGUAGCACCUAUUGUAGAAAAGAUGGUUAAAUUACAUCUCAGGUGGUUUGGACAUGUGAGAAGAAGACCGAUAGAACAUCCAGUCAGGAGGGUGGAUGAGAUGGAAGAUGGACAAUGAGCGAAAGGCAGAAGAAUACCUAAGAAGACCAUCUAUGAGGUGGUCAAACAAGAUCUACAUGUAAACGGUCUCUCUGUUAACAUGAUACAUGACAGAACACAAUGGUAUCGUUUAAUUCAUGUAGCCGACCCCACUUAGUGGGACAAGACUUUGUUGUUGUUGUUGUUUGUAAUAUACAAUUGAUUAUUGUGUAUUUAAUUAUAUUAAAAUAAUUAAACAAUAAAUUCUAAAAGAAUAUAUUUAAUAAAAAAUAUUGAGAGUUAGCANNNNNNNNNNNNNNNNNNNNNNNNNNNNNNNNNNNNNNNNNNNNNNNNNNNNNNNNNNNNNNNNNNNNNNNNNNNNNNNNNNNNNNNNNNNNNNNNNNNNNNNNNNNNNNNNNNNNNNNNNNNNNNNNNNNNNNNNNNNNNNNNNNNNNNNNNNNNNNNNNNNNNNNNNNNNNNNNNNNNNNNNNNNNNNNNNNNNNNNNNNNNNNNNACUUAAUACUUAAUAAAAUUCAUUUUUAUUAAACUUCGUUGUAGAUUUUUUUGGCAACCUUUACUUGCUACAAUAUUAGGUUCCUCAGACACUAACAUUAUUAAUAAUGAGUAAUCAUCCAAAUCAGUCAAUAAAAUAUUUAAAAUUAGACAUUUUAAUUUUUUAAAUUUUAAAAUGUACAAAACAGUUUUUAACAUUUAUUUUCGUUAGAGAAUAUAGUCUCCUUCUAUUAAUCAAUAACGACGACUGGUGAUCUAAAACGUUAACUCAUACACGUAGUCGUUAAGUAUUCACAUGUGUAAUCUGAACAAAUCAAUUUCUAGAGUAAAGUAUAAAACAGUCUUCGAAAAAUUUAAAAAAUUUUAAAUUAGUUCCUAAAAAAUUUUUAAAAUAAAUAAACCUAUAUAUUACUUUUGACCAUACAAAAUAGUAAUUUAAUUUUUAAUAUAUAGAUAACAUACUUUUUUAUCAUUUUUUAAUGAUGAUCAAAAGAAUGAGCUAGUAUUGUUUGAAAAAAUAAAAGAACUCUCAUUUAACAUAAAUUUUUCACAUAAAUAACUUGAAAAUAUUUGUGCAAAUGUUUAUAAAAAUAAUACUUCAGAACUUGCAUGUAAUACGAACUAAGUCACCUAUGAAAUUCAAUUUGUAAAUUUUAGUCAAUCACAAUGUCAAUGUGGAUGAUUUAUAAACUUUUGAUGUGAAGCUCCUAAUAUUUUGCAAUACUUAAAAAAAAUAUCUUAGUAAAUCUAAGUGUUCUGUUUAUAUUUUUUAGUAAAAAAUUUUAAAAUUUAUUGAUUGUAAUGUUGCAUAAAAUAGACUUAUAGUUAAAAUUGUUUGUGUUACUAUAAUUAGUAAUUACACAAAGAAAAAAUAGAUUUUUUUUCACUUAGAAAUAAUUUUUCUAAGUUUAUUUGAUUUCAAUAUCUUAAAAAUUUAGGUAUAUAAAUAAUAGUCUUUAUAAUCAAAUGACAUGUUAGAUUGAGUUGUUAUUAUUAUGAUUUCUAUANNNNNNNNNNNNNNNNNNNNNNNNNNNNNNNNNNNNNNNNNNNNNNNNNNNNNNNNNNNNNNNNNNNNNNNNNNNNNNNNNNNNNNNNNNNNNNNNNNNNNNNNNNNNNNNNNNNNNNNNNNNNNNNNNNNNNNNNNNNNNNNNNNNNNNNNNNNNNNNNNNNNNNNNNNNNNNNNNNNNNNNNNNNNNNNNNNNNNNNNNNNNNNNNNNNNNNNNNNNNNNNNNNNNNNNNNNNNNNNNNNNNNNNNNNNNNNNNNNNNNNNNNNNNNNNNNNNNNNNNNNNNNNNNNNNNNNNNNNNNNNNNNNNNNNNNNNNNNNNNNNNNNNNNNNNNNNNNNNNNNNNNNNNNNNNNNNNNNNNNNNNNNNNNNNNNNNNNNNNNNNNNNNNNNNNNNNNNNNNNNNNNNNNNNNNNNAAAUAUUAUAAGACAUGAACUUUUGAAAAAGAUUAAAAAUAUUUGAAGAGAUGGUUUUCGAAAUUUUUAAAAUUUUUUAAGAAUUGUUUUGAGAUUUUUUCAUGUUAGCAAUCACCAUUAGUAACUAAUGGAGGAAGACGGUAUUAUCUAACAGAAGUAAACGUGAUGUUCGAGAGAAAAUUUGAACAUUAAUGAAAAAGUAGUUUAAAUUUGGAUAUUCUUUAUGCUUACAUACUCUCCUUGGCACUAAACUGUGUUGUUCCUUAUUGUAUUAAAUGCUAAAUAUUAAUUAUAUAGUAAAAAUUAUAAUAACUUUUUUAGAUAUUAUUUUAAUUUUCUNNNNNNNNNNNNNNNNNNNNNNNNNNNNNNNNNNNNNNNNNNNNNNNNNNNNNNNNNNNNNNNNNNNNNNNNNNNNNNNNNNNNNNNNNNNNNNNNNNNNNNNNNNNNNNNNNNNNNNNNNNNNNNNNNNNNNNNNNNNNNNNNNNNNNNNNNNNNNNNNNNNNNNNNNNNNNNNNNNNNNNNNNNNNNNNNNNNNNNNNNNNNNNNNNNNNNNNNNNNNNNNNNNNNNNNNNNNNNNNNNNNNNNNNNNNNNNNNNNNNNNNNNNNNNNNNNNNNNNNNNNNNNNNNNNNNNNNNNNNNNNNNNNNNNNNNNNNNNNNNNNNNNNNNNNNNNNNUAUUUAAAUUAAUGAAAUUUUUAUUAUUCAUAAUUAUUAAUAUAAAUAUUAUUAAACAUAUAUAAAUAAAAAUAUCAAAUAUUUUUAUUAAUUAUAAUAUCAUUAUUAUUUUUUUAAUAUUUAUUAAAUAUUAUUUUUCAAUAAAAAUAAUAUAAUAAAUAUAAACUAAUCAGUUAGUUAUUGAAAUAAAAUAUAAUUAUUUUAGUAUGAAAAUAAAAUUAAAAAAUCUUUAUUAUGAAAAAAUACUAGAAUUUUAUAUACUUAUUUAAUAGAUUAUAGAUUAUAACUUAUUGAUUAUAAUUUGUUAAAAUUUGAUUGUUUUUAAAAUAUUAGUGAAGAUAUAUAUUUUUUAAAUUUUAAUUUUAGAUUUUAGAUUAUUUUAUAUUUUUUAUUUAUGUAAAAUUAGUUUCGUCAGUUUAACCAAUAAUUUAUUAGUUAAACCAAUAAAGUAAUAAACCAAUAAUCUAAUUAGGGUUGACAAUCUAUACCCUACUUGCGGGUAUUCAACUGGACCAAUCCGUUCGAGUAGGGUUGUCUACCCAAUCCGCUGCGGAUAUAGUAGGGUGCGGUGCGGGUUUACCUGCGGAUAGAAUAGGGUACAGGUUCAGGGUAUAUCCUACACUACCCUAUCCGCACCCUUAGACUUUCUCAUAUAUUAUAUAACAUAUAUGUAAAAGUUAUGUAUGUAGUAAAGAAAGUGAAUGUUGAAGUCACAAUCUUUCUCUUAUAAAAACUUGAAAUAACUACUAAAUUAGUUGAUAAUCAUAUUAUUUGUAAUUUUAUGUUAGAUUUUUUUAAGAUUUUAUUGUAUUUAAUUUUAAUUUAAAUUUAGCUUUUUAUUUCCUAUUUUAUUAAUANNNNNNNNNNNNNNNNNNNNNNNNNNNNNNNNNNNNNNNNNNNNNNNNNNNNNNNNNNNNNNNNNNNNNNNNNNNNNNNNNNNNNNNNNNNNNNNNNNNNNNNNNNNNNNNNNNNNNNNNNNNNNNNNNNNNNNNNNNNNNNNNNNNNNNNNNNNNNNNNNNNNNNNNNNNNNNNNNNNNNNNNNNNNNNNNNNNNNNNNNNNNNNNNNNNNNNNNNNNNNNNNNNNNNNNNNNNNNNNNNNNGAAUAAGGGGAAUAAGGGUUUAAAACCUUAGGAUGCGAUUAGGGUUAGAGUUGAGAAAUUCUCAACUUGCAAAUAAGAUAAAGUAAAAUUUUAAAAAAAAAUUUCAAUUCACGAAUAAGAUUAAGAUAUAGAAUCCAAACCCUACCCUACUCUAAUCAUUGCCCGCCCUAAAUCUAAUUGGUUUAAUUAACGAUUAGGUUAUGACAACUAUCAUCCGAACCUCCUCAUCCACAUACAUCUAUUCUUUCAAGUCAGCUAGAUUUGAUAAUGGUUAAAGCAUGUGAAAGUUUCGUGGCUUUAGGAAACACCUCUUUUGUGGCAGGCAUUGCAACACAAAAGAUAUGUUUAAUUAUUAUUUGUCAGUUUUAAUAAUUUUUAUUGAUUUAAUUUAAUUUAUAUUUAUUUUAUCUUCUAAAUAUAUAUUAAAAAUUUAAUAAAUUAUUGUUUAAAUAAUCAAAUCAAAUAGUUUUUAUAUUUUUAUUUUUUUGAAUUUGAGUUUCACUCCUAAUUAAAAAAAAAAUAUCUAUUAAAAAAUAUUAAUAAAUAUCAUAAUCUUAAAAAGAAAAUUUAUUUGCUGUAAUUUAAUGGAAAGUAAUCAAAGUAUCUGUAUCUUUCUCUUAUAACUUUAAAGAUCUUCAAUGUACAAUUGAGAAGGAGAGAGUGUAUAUAUAUAGAGAGAGUAAUUUCAACAUAUCAGAUUCAGAUUUACUAAUACUAUAGUAAACAAUUAAACAUCAAUAAUUCACUUCCUUUGUAUUCAUGGAGAACCAACAUUAUGUAGCGCUUAUAGUUGGAGUCACAGGUAUGGUUGGGCUUAACAUAGCCCAAGCCUUGAAGAAGCCCGACUGCAAGGGAGGCCCAUGGAAGGUUUACGGAGCAGCCCGCCGUCCCCCGCCCGCCACCUGGUUUCCUGCUUCCAUCGUGGAUGAUUUCAUCAGCUUCGACGCCGUCGAUGCCGCCACCACACAAGCCAGCCUCUCCCCCAUAGCCCACGAGGUCACACACCUCUUCUGGGUAGCUCUUCAGUUUCAGGAAGACGAAGAAGCCAACAUUGCCACCAACAAAGGCAUGCUCCACAACGUUCUCACCACACUCAAAUCUUCCCCUGCUUCCCGCCUCACCCACGUAACCCUCCAAACCGGGACAAAACACUACAUGGGCCCAAUCUUUGACCCGGCCCGGUCAACUCAACUCUUGAGCCAUGAUCCCCCGUUUCACGAGGACAUGCCCCGACUACCGUACCCAAACUUCUACUACGCUCAGGAGGAUCUCCUUGCGUCCCACGCGCCUUCUCUGACGUACUCCGUUCACCGCUCCUCCAUCAUAAUCGGCGCGUCUUCAAGGAGUGCAAUCAACGCGCUGGUUAAGCUUGGGGCUUAUGCCGCGGUUUGCCGCCACCUUAGGUUGCCGUUUCGUUACCCGGGAACACGGUACACGUGGGAGCAUUUUUGCGACAUGACAGACUCCGAGGUGUUAGCCCAGCAGCACGUGUGGGCAGCGGUUACGGACAAGGCCAAGAAUCAAGCGUUCAAUUGCACCAAUGGUGACUUGUUUACGUGGAAGAGAAUGUGGAAAGUGCUGAGUGAGUUGUUUGAUGUUGAGUUUGUUGGGUUUGGUGAGAAUGAUGAAGAUAGGGUUGAUGUGGUGGAGUUUAUGAGAGACAAAGACGAGAUUUGGGAUGAGAUUGUGGAAAAGUAUGGACUUGUCAAGACUAAGCUAAAGGAGUUUGCAUAUUAUGAAGCCUUGAAAGUAGUCUUACAUUUUGAUUUUCAACAUGUGUCUAGCAUGAAUAAGAGUAAGGAAUACGGUUUCUUUGGCCACGCCAACACCUUCAAAAGGGUCACAUUCUGGGUUCACAAACUGCGUUUCAUGAAGAUCAUACCCUAGCUAUAGUAAUAUAGAUAUAUCUUAUCAGUCUAUUGUUAUGGUGAAAAUAAAACGCAACAAGCUAGGGGAUUCCCUUUAUUCCAGCAAUUAAAUACAACUAUAUGUGAUGAACUUUAAUCAACUAUUGAAAGCAUGCCCAGUUGAUGUUAGAAACUUCUUAUUUUAUUUAUUUUUUAAAAAUUGUCCUCUCAUUAUAGAAUGGUGUCUAGCCCAGCCUUUUUGAGAGUUCAUAUAUCAUCAUCAAGAUAGGCCAAAGUUAGCUAACAUUAGCUACUCCUGGGAAGAAAACCAUAUUUGGCAAAUUGAUAAACUCAGUAACUAGAAGUUAAUUUUUUAGACAUUAUCGUAAUUAGUAUAUUAAUAAAUAAGAAUACUAAUGGUAUACUAAAAUCAAUAAAUUAAUACAUACACACACAUAUAUAUAUAUAUAUAUUAUUUUUAAUAUAUAUUUUAUAUUAAUAAUUAAUUUUAAUAACUAAUUUUAAUGGCAUUGUUUUUUAUAUUAAACUUGAAUAAACAUGUUUGUAUUAUAUUACAAUCUUAUUUAGUUGGAUGAAUAUAAGUUCAUACUUAUUGAAUUGAAUUCUUAGUAGAAAUAGACUGAAAUUUAUUCUUCUUUUUUUUCUCUAUUUGUUGGUUUUAUUCCUCUAAAAAAGUAAAACAAGAAUAUAUAUAAGAAAAUAAAAUAAGAAAGAGAAGAUGAAAAAAAGAAAAGAAAAAAGAAGACAAAGUAGAAGAUGAGAAGGAAGGGAAAGAAAAGUUUUGAAUUGUGUGCACCGAAUUUAAAUCGAUAAUGCACCGAAAUUCCUUAAUGAUGACGAUACACAAAUAAACUUAUCAGUUUAAAAUAAGCUCAGAAGACCAGAAUACACCGAAAUUAAACUCAGAAUACACCGAAAUUAAAUCCAUAAUGUUCCGAAAUUACGAUACACAAAUAAAUUUGGUUCAAAAUAAGCACAAAUCAAGUGCACCUUAUUUAAAUCCAAAAUGGACCAAAAUUACUUAAUGAUGACAACCAAGGUUGCGAAAACUAGUCCAAUAGUUCCAUCAGGGUCAAAUCGUAGUUGAAUUUGUUUAAUUAAAUAUACAAUAAAAUCAUUAAAAAUUUAAUAUACAAUUUUAAAUAUUUAAAUUCAAUUAUUUUUAAACUAAUAAAAUUUAAAAUUUUAUCGUGUCACAUAAUAAUUUGUUCAUAUUUUACCAUUAAAAAUUCACAAUAAAUUAUUUUUAAUUAAUGUAUAAGCUCUAAUCAAGUUUAACUGCUUGACAAUCAAGAUAAGCACUUCAAUAGAAUCAGAUGACAAUUGUUAUGAGCACAAGAAAGAAGAAAGUAAUUCUUGUUAUAUAAAAAAUAAAGAAAUGAAUUCAAAGACUUAGAAUUGAUACCAGAAUUAUUAAGAAUCAAUACACACUCAUAAUAUUAUUUUGAAUUAAAAACUAAAAUAGAGUAACUAACUAAUCAAUAAUCUAAUUGCUCUUCUUUUACUCUUCUUUGAACUGAAUCUUGUUCUAUUACAUUUGCAUUGUAUCUUCAAUAUUAAUCAAGUAUUCAACAAAAAACUCAAAAUUCAAAAAUUUUUUAACAUUCAAAGUCAGAGAAUCAAAAAAUAGAAAAACUAAACAAAAAUUCAAAUUUAGCACCUAAACUAAAUUUAGAAUUGCAUCAGCAAUAAUUCUAUUCAAAAUACAAAAUUAUUUUAAAAAAUCAGCAACUCAAAAUAGUAAAAUUAUUUUAGAAAAUUUAACAACACCAGCAAUCAUCAUCCAUCAAAAUUUAACAAAAUAAAUAAACAUGAACAAAAAUAGAAAAAUCAACAACUUAGAAUCAGUCAAAUUAACAAAAUAAAACCUCAACCAUCAAAAUUCAGAAUCCAAGAUUGAACUUAUGAAUUAUCACUAUUUCUAAAAAUUAUAUCAAAAUUCUAUUUAGUAUUAGAAAUUUAGAAUGAUUAAUUCAUAUAAUUAAAAAAAUAAAAAAAAUUAACUGAAAAACAAAAAUUGAAGAACUCACUUUAUUAAUUCAUAUAAUUAACAAAAUAAAAAAAUAAUUGAAAAACUGAAGAACUUACUGCGGCACAGAAAGCAAAGAAGGCCUAGAGUCCACAGCGACAGAGACAAAUUCUGGACAAGACAGAAGUGGCUGACGACAUAAGCUUCGAACCGACCUUCCUAUGACGACGACGACAAAAGCUUCGAGUGACGAGGGUGGCAACCGCUGGUGGUCACUGCCGGUGCCGAUAGUGGUAGGGAUGGUAGAGGCAUUCCUUCUGCUCAUUGGAGACUUGGAGAAAAUUAGGGGUGGAGCUAUGAAGGGAGAAGGAGAAGGAGAAGGAGAAGGAGAGCGAGGUGUUCCGCGUUUGUGAGGCUGGGUUUGGGAAUUGCGGGACUGGGUUAGUGACUUAGGGUUUCUUUUUUUUUUUGGAGUCAAAACGACGCCGUUUCUGAACUUGGAUUACAAAACCGGGCCUUUUAAAAUCUGGCCGAUUUUUUAAUCGGUUUUUUACAAGACGGUUCUAGGGUCAAGUAGACUGGUUAGAUGACCGGUUCUCGGUUAAUCUGGUCGAUCCGGUUCAAUUUUCAGAACCUUGAUAACGACUAACAAACUCAAUUCAAAAUAAGUACAAACCAAGUGCACCUUAUUUUUAUCUAGAAGGCAUCGAAAUUACUUAAUAAUAACGACGCACAAGCAAAUUCCUCCUCCUCCUCCUUCUUCAUCUUUUAUUUCUUGUUUUACCUUCUCAUAAUUUUUAUUGUUUUAUUCUCUUAACAAAAUUUAAAAAAUUAAAUAAAUAAGAAGAAGAAACACAUAAUGCUGCAAAAUCACUAGGAAGAGGAGGAGAAAAAGAAAAAAAUGCAGCAAUAAAAGAGAGACGAUGAGGAGAAAAUGCGCGAUAACGAUAAUAACAAUGAUGAUGGAGGAGAAGGAGGAGAAGGAGGAAAAGGAAGAAAACACACGAUGAUGAUGAUGAUGAUGAUGAUGAUUGAAGAAGAAAAUGAGGAAAAGAAAGGAGAAAAAAAAAUUUAAAUGAGAGGAAGAGGAAGAGAAAGAGGUGGUGGUAGUGGUGGUAAUUACGAUAACGAAAGAAAAAAUGACGAAGAAGGAGGAGGAUGAGAAGAACAUGCACAACAGGAGUGAAGAAGAAAAAGAAGAAGAAGAAGUGAUAGGAGUGAAGAACGUGCAAACAAAGAAAAGGAAGUUAUAUAUAAUCGCAUGUUAAGUCAAAAGAUUGUUAGAAAGAAUAGCGUAUGAAAGUAAAUUAGGUUAUUAUAUCAAUUUGAUUGAACUUAAUUGAUUAAAUUACUUGGAUAUAGAAUUUUAUUAUAAUAAACAAUGAUAAUUGGACAAUUUAAUUAGGAAUACAUUUUACGUACCUAUCUUUUAACCAAAAAUUAAGUAAAACGAAGUAGUUCAUCAUUAAUCUUCUAAUAUUAAAAAUGUUCUCCUUUUAAAAUGACAUAGUCAAUAAUGCUGAGGUGUGAUUGUGUGAAUGUUGUGUUAAAAAAGUAUUUUCUCAAACCAUGCUUUUAGGUAGUACCAUAAUGAGAUUAGAUUUUUUAAAUUUUUUUUUAGAUUCCUAUGAAAAUAAGUAAUCCUCUACUUUUACUUUUGUGCAACAGACAAAGAGCGGGCGGCUUAUAGUUGAAAAUAAGAGACUUUUUUAAGUGUCUCACAUAUACUAAUGCGAUUAGAAAAGAAAGACAAAAGGUUACUCGAAUAAGUAUUUUUAUACUAAAUUUCCUUUUUUUAAUCUUUAAUUUUACAUUUGGAAAAUUGUGUAUUCUUUUAAUUCUUUAUUUGACUGAAGACUUAAUUAAACAUUAUUAUAAAUCUGGAAUCACUUUAUGUAUAUUCAUUAAAAAACCUCACUCGUCCGUUAUUUGUUAUGAAUCUUUUAGAAUUAAGAAGAAGGAAGAAAAAGAAAGGAAGAAGAGGAAAGGAGGGACGGCGCCAAUAAAAUUUAGAAUCGCCGUCGUCGCUGGAAAUUAGAAUCAGAAAAAGAAUCACUGCGACUGCACUGAGCUCAGCUUCCUUACGACAACUUUCACUCUGUCAUUUGCGUCACCACUGUCCAACUCCUCAACGAGUGUUGCAUCGUCGUCGAAGUCAUUCUCAACCACACUCUUGUCCUCGUACGUUGCUGUCACCAUAACAAUGGCGUCGUCUUCUGUCAGGUCUUUUCCAUCACCAUCACAAUUGAUUAUUGUGUAUUUAAUAAUAUUAAAAUACAUAAAAAAAUAAAUUUUAAAAGAAUAUAUUUAAUUAAAAAUAUUGAGAGUUAGCAUUACAAAAUUAAUAUUACAUUAACAUAAAAAAAUUAAAACUCAAAUUAAAAAAAUAUUUAAAAGUUAAACUAAAAUUCAUUUUUAAACUUCGUUAUAGUUUUUUUUGACAACCUUUACUUGCUACAAUAUUACGUUCCUCAGACACUAACAUUACUUUUUAAUAAUGAGUAAUUAUCCAAAUCAGUGAAUCAAAUAUUUAAAAUUAAACAUUUUAAUUUUUUAAGUUUUAAAAUAUACAAAAUAGUUUUUAACAUUUAUUUUUGUUAGAGAAUAUAAUCUCCUUCUCUUAAUUAAUAAUGACGAUUACUGAUGUAAAACGUUAACUACACAUAGUUGCUAAGUGUCCACAUAUAUAAUCUGAACAAAUUAAUUUCUAGAAUAAAGUACAAAACAGUCUUCGAAAAAUUUUAAAAAAUCCCUAAAAUUUUUUUAAAAUAUCAAAANNNNNNNNNNNNNNNNNNNNNNNNNNNNNNNNNNNNNNNNNNNNNNNNNAUCUCAAAUUUGAUUAUUUAUACACAAAGUUUUUUUUAUAUAUUUUUAAAAUAAAUUAUAAAUUAAUUUUAAAAAACUCUAAUUUUCAAAAAAUAUAAAUAAUUUAAAAUAAAAAAAUCCAUAUAAUACUUUUGACUAUACAAAAUAGUAAUUUAAUUUUAUUUAAAAUUUAUAAAUACCAUAUUUUUUUUAUCAUUCUUUAAUGAUGAUAAAAAGAAUGAGCUGGUAUUAUUUGAAAAAAUAAAAAACUCUCAUUUAACAUAAAUUUUUCACAUAAACAACUUGAAAAUAUUUGUGCAAAUGCUUAUGAUAAAGACAACAUUUCAGAACUUGCAUGCAAUACGAACUAAGUCAUCUAUAAAGUUAAAUUUGUAAGUUUUAGUCAAUCACAAUAUCAAUGUGGAUGAUUUAUAAAUUUUUGAUGUGAAACUCCUAAUAUUUUGCAACACUUAAAAAAAAUAUCUUAGUAAAUCUAAGUGAUCUGUUUAUAUUUUUUAUUAGAAAGUUUUGAAAUUUAUUGGUUGUAAUAUUGCAUAAAAUAGACUUACAGUUAAAAUUGUUUGUGUUACUACAAUUAAUAAUUACACAAAGAAAAAAUAGAUUUUUUUGUAACACCCCAACUUUCGACACGUCAUGACCAAUGCCAAAUAUUCAAGUGCUACUCGUCAUAAGGACUUACUUAACUCUAGACUCAGAUUUCAUAAGAAAAUGUUAUUAUAAGCUUUUAUUGGUUUAAUUGUGAAUAAACUAUUAUUCGUGGAUUAGCAUUUAGUUGCUCGCAAGGUUAGUUUCUUUAAAGUUAUGAUAUAGGAAAACACAACGCAAUAGAAAAUAAUAUAUAUAAACAUAUAUACAAAUAUAUACAUGAGUUAAGUUUAAGGAAACGUGUCGUCUAUCAAAAGCCAAGUAUCAAACCAAGUUAUAUGUACAGAUAUAAAAGAAGAAGUCAGUCCCAACCCUCACACGGGUUUCCUAAACUAAAACCGAACGACUAAGACGUCCUAUCCCUCUAAAAGUACUACAAAAGUGAGAAAAAAAAUAAUACUAUUGAUCAUCAAAAGGAGUAAAAAGUCAACUAGCUCAAGCUCCGGAAUGGCCUUCAGCUAGAGUGAAUACGUAUGACAUGCCGGGGUCGAAACGUGGGCAAUGAACCGAAACUCGAAAUUCAACGGACUCCUCUGCCGAACCCAUCUGGGGAGGGGGAGAAAGAAAGAGAAAAAAGGUGAGAACCUAGAGUUCUCAGCAAGGUAAAAGGGAAACCUAGGGUCUUUAUCUCUAAGUUGUCGCGAAGCAGAAAAAAAGAACAAGCACAGAGACUCAAGGCACAAAUAUACAUAUAACAAGUAAAUAGCAUGAACAAGAAGGAAAUAGCAGUAAAUAAGUCACAAGAAAUACAUAUGCGCAAACAAGAUGAUGCAUGCCUGUUCCUAGCGCAAGCCAUGAGCUCAUGCGUCGGUUGUCUACCCGCAACCCGACGUUACUCGGAGUGAACCCCGAAUAUGGUCCCUUUAGUGUGUCAAUUAGACACCUUGACAUUACGAUUACCCGUGUCAAUUAGGUCUCAUUAUAAUAACAUUUUAAUGUGUAUCACAAUAAGGAACAGUGCUAUCAGUUAAGCGAACAUUCUCGCAUUAGCAAUCUCAGGCUAUCAGUUAGACUUAGGCGGGCACUUCAACAUUAGCAAAUUAGUACAAGGCCCAUUCAACAUACAUUAUACUAUCUGUUAGGCAGACAUUCUUGCAUUAGCACUUUGGCGCAAAGGCCCAUUCAAACAAACAGUUCUCAUGAAUCAUUAUCCAUUCAUGGUUUCAUUUUCUUUCUUUUCAUCAUGCUUUCACAUCACCUUAUAAAUACGCAUACCUCCGCAUUACCAUAUUACUAAGGAUACCUUCACAUCACCAUGUUACUAAGUAUACCUCCGCAUCACCUUUUAACUUGAAACCUUCCCAGGGGCAACUUACAUCUUUAUUCAUUUCCUAGGCUUGUUUAGUCUAAAACCUUCUUGGCGACCAAUUUUCUAUCUAACAAUUAAUGUAACAAACGGACUCGAAUUUGUGCAAACUUUAUGUCCACGUGUUUGUAUUGAACUCAAGUUUCUAAAGGUUUAGAAAUCAUAUUUUUUUGGGUAGUUUGACACUAGAUAUUGAAGAAAACCCGGGACUACUAUCCUUAGAUUUUUGGGGCAGCACCUUGCUAUUUUGCUAAGUAGUUCUUCUGUUGUGAAUACUUAUGCACGACCUAUUUCUCUUGGUAAGGUAACUCUAGAGGUCCUAAUCUUUAAUUUGAGUUAAGUUUUUCUGAAUUUGUAUUAGAAUUGAAUUUUGUACAAUUUUUAGAAUUCUGCUACUGCAUUUAAAAGAUUCAAAAAAGAGCAGACAUCAGCAGUGUUUUUAUAAAUUCCACAAUAAUUUUAAUUCUAAUCUGUUGUUUCUAAAUUUUGAUGAGAUUAAAAUAGUUCCCCUUAAGUUUAAGAAUUCACAAGUUUCAGGGUUCAUAUCACUUCAUUUGAUUAAUUAAUUAGCAAUUGGAAGUGAUGUCCUGUUUUAUAAAUCAGUUCAGAGUUUCCAGCAAACAACCCAUCUUUCAAAUGACUUAUUUAAAUCUACAAAAUAGAUAUGGACAUGAAGCUUAUAUUAGCUUAAAAUAGACUGAUAGAUCCUUAAAACCCUUUCAGAAGCAACUCAAAAUUCUAUUUAAAUAAAAAGUUACAGCGUCUGGUAGUUGGUACUACAGAACCAAAAAACCAGAAAAUUCUGCAGCAACCACUAAACUUCAAAAAUUUAUAUCUUCCAAACCACUUGGCCAAAUUCUCUGAAAUUUUUAUGGAAUAUUCAAGACACACUAGAUUUUUACAAAAAAAUAAUUUUAUCUAAAAAUUUGGUCUGAAAUGCUCCUAGAAAGUCAUUCAUUCUACUGCUAAUUAUGCAGAGAUUGCAGAAAUUUCUGCACAAUGUAAUUCCAACAACCUCACAUACCAAAUCUUAUAUUCAAGCCUAGAAUUCAUCUAAAACAAUAAUUUUACCUUUCUUUUGACUAGUUAAAGUUACUAGAAUGGUCAGCAUAGCUUCAAGAGCUUAUACUCAUUAAUUUACCCUUUUUUACAAAUGCACAUUCAUAACUCAACAUUCACUUUUCUGCAUUUUAUCAUAACAGAAAUUUAAUAUGCAUUUCUCAUCAAUCAAAUACAUGAUAAACCAUCAAUCAUCACAAGUACACACAGUUGCAAACAAGAUAUUCUAUAUAUACUAUCCCUUACCUUAUUUGUUGAUCAAACACAAAGCUUGCUUCUACUACUCUUUUGCUGCCGAACCUUAAUUCGCAACAAGAACCAACAUUCUCUAUUAUACCCACAAGGCCAUUCGACCAGAACAAACAUAAGCAAGGGAAAUUACUUACCCUUCCUCGUUUGUGAUGAUGGUUGUUCGUAAAUCGGACAAACUAGAGGAAUAGAGCAAAGAGUUUACCAGAGAUUUGAAUUAGGGAAGUAAGGAAAGAAGGUGAAGUUGUUGGUUCUUACUGUACAGAGAGGCUCGAGAAAUUAUCUGGGUGAGUGGGAUGAAACUCCUGCUUCAGCUUUGGCUGUCCUCCUUCUUGCUCUCUUUUCUUUUUCCGCCGCUGGUCCUUCCUUUCUUCUGCGUGAUGUGUGUUUUGGGGAGAAGAGAAAUUGAAGCUGCUUACCUUUGUUUUAUAAAGAUAGAGGAAUGGACUGAGCUGUUGAUGAAGGCUUUGUGUCUUUCUCUCCUUUCAACAUAGUAGCAACGUGCAUAUGAGGAAGUGAAACCAUAGUUUAUAGCUGAGUUCCAAGUGGUGCUGAGAGAAGAGUUAAUUAGGGUUGGUUUAUUUGGGUGGAAGGUGGUUUGAUUGGACCAAAAGAAAAGAAACCAAUUGGGUUCAAGGUUUGACUUAUCAAAAUAAUAUGAUUCAAUGAUUCAUUCAUUAGUUCUUUUCAAGAACAACCAAAGAGAUUAUUAAAAUCUUCUAGGAGUAAUUAUUCCACAGAAUAAUUGAAUUGGAAAGAUUCGUCACUUGGAAGUACUAAAAGAAAAGUUUUGCGUUACGUAUUCUAUUUAUAAUUCGUUAUCUAUGCUAUAUAUUUAUAUAUUUAAACCUAUGCGCGUCAGCGAAUGUUGUAUAGAAUCAGAAAUCACAGGCCUCAUGGGGUAGAGUUGUUACAUUUUUCACUUAGGAAUAAUUUUUCUAAGUUUAUUUGAUGUCAAUGUCUUAAAAGUUUAGGUAUAUAAAUAAUAGCCUUUAUAAUGCAAUGACAUCUUAGUAUAGAAUAAUAUUUUACUAUUUUGACUAAUAGAAAAUAAUAAUGACAUGAAGUUUUGAAAAAGAUUAAAACUAUUCAAAGGGUGGUUUUAUAAUUUUAAAAUUUUUCAGGAAUUGUUUUGAGAUUUUUUAAAUUAUUCGAGAACUGCUACUCACACACGUGGAUACUUAAUAGCUACAUGUACGACUUAAUAUUUCAUACUAGCAAUCACUGUUAGUAACUAAUAAAGGAAGACGGUAUUAUUUAACAGAAGUAAACGUUAAGAAUUGUUUUAUGUAUAUUAAAAAUAAAAAAAAAUUAGACUAAUUUAAAUAAUGAUAAUACUAGAGAGAUAAAAAAAUAGUCAAAAUUUAUCUUAACAAUUAAUAAAUACUAAAUAAAACAAAUUCGUUCUGACGGUUUUUAACUAAUUUAUUUUAGUUAUCAAAUAUUUUCAAAUUUCUCAUUAAUAAAAUACAAAAAAAAAAAAAAUCUUUUUGUCCUAAUCCUAAUGGCAUCACACUCCUUUGCAAAAUUUGAUACCGUGAAAAGUUAAGACAUAAGGGGCCUCAAAAAAGUUUACAAAGGUAUGUUGUGGCAAUAACUAAAAUAAAAAAAUGACAGUUCACUUCAUAACAAAUUCAGAUGUUCACUUUACGAUGUCAUUCUAUCUCGAUCUCUAAUUGCUCUAAACGAUUUUGAUGAUCAUGAACCAAUUCGAUGAUUUUCGUUGCCUAUUUACUUCCUGAUCUUUUAAGAAUGUGGAUAUAAGAACCUAACCUUCGUCCUCUUAAGUCGUUUCUACCUCCAUCACUAGCAAGACCCUUAUCCCUUUCUAAAUGUUGGGGUAUAUAAAGUGUUCGAUCAUUUUUUUGGGAACUCUCAACUUCGAGAUUCUGAAUUAGAUGCAGUUCGUCUGUCAUCUGGAUGAGCUUCAGCCAUGGUUUAGCAAAGACUUUUCGGGUCUCUGAUAAUGAUGUCAACACCUAAAAUUGAUGAUUUAAAUUUGAACGUGAAGUCCAAACUCCUUUCUGAUGAGAGAUUUAACAUCUUUCUCAACAGGAUAAAGCCAUCUGAGUUCUUUGAGUGAGAAUGAGGGAAGUGGUACCUACAAGUGACUCUGAUAUUUAAGCUAGUAAGAAUUUGAGACAAAUUUUUAUGAAGUUGGAUGUUCAAAAUACGUGUAGCAAUGAGGUAUCUAUAUAGUGGAAGUGAGAACUUGACCAUCACCAUGUAACUUUUCUACCAAUAAUGAUAGAUAAUUACUUCUUACUGUUUAGAGGGAGCUAUUAUCCCAUAUUUUAAAUGGUAUGCGAGAUUAUAUGCAUAUUGGGAUCCACUUUUCACACAUGUUGGGCAGCUGAAAAAAGAUCUUUUUAGAUCUUGAUAGACUGAUCCUAUUCAUUUGAGCUUGAUCUUAAUUUUGCCUCGAUAUGAACAAGACUCACCUUAUAUUUANNNNNUUUGCUUUUUGUAAUCACGUUUAUUCAAUUUUGAUGAAUGAAAUUUUAUUGCAUAUUUUAAAAAAUUUGAGUGUGAAUAAAAGAAAUAGAGUAAUUUUCUUAACUUUGUACUCUAAGUCUAGGCUUCUUAAGAGUCUUUAGCAUGACUAAAAAAAGAGCUAAGUACAGAUUUACCAGUUUUUCAAUUCGAACCAUAAUUAUAAGAAUCGGACUGAAUUGGUCGAUUUGACUGGAUCAAACUUUCAACCGAACCGAACGGUUCAAUAAAAAAUUUUAAAAUUAAUAAAGAAAUAGUUCGAACCUAACUCUUUUUUUUUGCUUGCAUGCUCUCUUUACCACUAAGUUUUGUUGUUUUUUUUUUUUUACCAAAGAUAGGAAGACUCAAACCCGCGACCUCUUAGGUGAGUAUGGAGAGACUAUGUCAUUUGAGCUAUAGCUCGUUAGUUUGCGUAUUUGAUUAUCCUGUUAACUACUAAUUGUAUUACUCAUUCUAAAUGUUCUUAUUUUUGAUUGUUUGGUAUAAUUGCUUGUGUGUAUUUGAAUUCCAUUGAAAGAAUAGAUAUUUAAAUUAAUAAUGAUGAUUGUUAGGAAUGGAUGAGGCUAGUGGUAGUUUAAAAUACUCUUGCCUUUGCAACUUUACCCUGCAUGGAUUAGUUAAGACCCUAGACUUGGAUUCUUGUGAAGUUGGAGAUCAGAAUUGCCUAGAGGGUUCAUAUUUCCUUAUGUAGUCUUUAUUCAGAACUGUUACCCUACUGGGAACCUUUGGGUUCUCAGCCAUUGUUAUUAUUCUAUUUUUUUAGAUACAGAAAGCAAUGCACCUCGGUGAGAGAGUGCGAAAUUCAAGUGGUGAAAAAAAGAGGAUUGCUUUUGGGGAUUUUAUUUUGACUUUAGAAUUCUCUCCCUUUUGAAAGUAUACGGUAUAUGACUUUAAUUUUCUCUUAGAGGCUUUUAUGGAGAGAUAGGUGUAUAUUUUGUAUUCUAUCUAAUGAUUAAAAAUCCUAGCUAGCCUUUUCUUUGCAGGUUGAGACUAGUGACUAUUAUGUAUAUAUCUUAUUAUGUAUCUACUUAUCGAGUCUUGGGAUUUUUUUUGCUUUUGUAUACGACGCUUAUCGCUUUAACACGUCCAUGUGUGUUUAAUGAUUUUUGAUGUUUAAUUUUCUUCACGGGCUCCUAGUUUUAAUACUAUCCUUCUAUAAUUUUAUAUGUAACUCCAAGUCUAAGUGUAGUAAUGCCUCGCCAUCAUUGAGUUACGACUUAAGCGUAAAGCUCUGUGUGGUAGGGUGUUACACUUCUAACUAUUAAAGAUGAAGAACGAAACUCAAUCUGAUCUAUUAAAAAAUAUUAAUAAAUAUUAUAAUCUUAGAAAGAAAAAUUAUUUGCUGUAAUAAUUUAAUGGAAAGUAUUUGUAUCUUUUUCUUAUAACUUUAAAGAUUUUCAAUGUACAAUUGAGAAGGAGAGAGUGUAUUUUUUUUGGUGACUGAACAUAACACAAAGAAAAAAGACCUAAGAAAAAGAGUAGUAUUUCUCUUUAAUAAUAAUGUCUAAAUUAUUAGGAGGCAGUAACCACUCUAGAUACACCUGCUUGUUUAAAACAGCAGUCUUAGCCAUUAAAUUAGCCGCUCUGUUUGCUGUUCGCUGGAUGAGCACUAAAGUAGCUGUCCAAUUGCGCUAGAGCAUCUCUUUGAUUUUGUCAAGCAGAUCAGAGUCAUUCCUAAUCAUGCUGGUUGUGCCUCGCGAAACAAGAAGAAACGCAUCAAGAUUAUCAGUUUCACAUAUGACUUCUUUGCACUCGCAAUCCCAAGCCAUAACAAAUCCUCUCCAAAUAGCAUGAAGCUCACAACAGAGAACACUAGAAAGAGGUAUACUGGCAGAACAACCUUUUAUCCAAAUUCCCAUGCUGUCUCUAAUAAUACAUCCAAAGUCAGCUAAUUGCUCAUUUUCAAAAACGCUUGCAUCGCAGUUCACUUUACAGACAUUCAUUGGAGGUGGUUCCCAGUUAUAUUUCAAAGAAGAAGGAAUAAUAUAUUUUUGGUUGAUAACAACAUUAGAGAAAUCUCGAGCAGCAUGUUUAACUAAGUGAACAAUUUUCUCCUUACUCCAUGGAUCAUCUUGGUGGAAGAUGUCAUUUUUCCUAUCCCUCCAAAUCCACCAAAAGGCCGCUGCAAAGAGAAACUCAUUUUUGUUGAGGUUAGAACGAAUCCAAGACACAAAAUCCAAACUAGAGUCCUUAGCGGUCAUUCCCAAAUUUAAGCUAAUCCAAAUCUGACGAGCUUUUUGGCAAGUCCUAAAGUAGUGGUUAAUAUCCUCUAGAGCAAGAUAACAUCUCUGACAAAAAUCAGAAGUAGAAAUACCUCUUUGAAACUGGUAACUAGCUGUGGGAACUCCGUUGUUGAGGCAAAGGCAGAGCAGACACUUUAUCUUCUCCGGUAUUCUCAAGCGCCAAAGCCAAAGCCAAUUUUCAUUAUCAUUCUAGCCAAAUUUCUUCUUCAAUAGCCAUUCAUACCCGCUUUUAGUCGAGUAGGUGAAAGUAUUUGAGUUUGUCCAAAACCAACCUGUUUUAUUUCCUGCCUGCUUGAUAGGAUCAAAGAGCAUCAAAGCAAGUUUAACUUCUUCCGAAAUCAUUGUGCAAAGAAUAUCCCACCACCAAUGCCGAUGGUGCCAGACAUCUUCUAACUUCAAGUGAGAAUCAGAAAUGUGUACAAAAAGAACCAAAGGAGCUAGCGUUCCACAUGGUCGCCAAGCAUGAUACCAAAAGGAUUGAGACAUCCUGCCUGUACACCAAUCAAAACCAUCACGAAGCUUUUCUAUUGUCUUAUAAAUCGCUCGCCAAGUGCUUGAAACAUUAUUAGAAAAAUUGGGUGAAAAGCAAGAACUCCCAGAUAAAUAUUUUGCCAACAUAAUUCUUACCCAAAGCUUAUCUUUAUUAUGCAAUAAUUGCUAAACAAGCUUUCCGAGUAAAGCAAAAUUUACACAUUGAGUAUCUCUAAUUCCCAAGCCUCCAUAUUUUCUUGGAGUGACAACUUUGCUCCACUUGACUAAAUUUAAGCAACGCUCCCCCGCCUUUCCCUUCCACAAGAAUUGUCUAAGCACGGAAUCAAUCUUUUGACAAACCGAAGUAGGAAAAAGAGUCACUUGCAUCUGAUAAAUAGGAAGAGAAGAAGCAACAGAUUUAAUUAAGCAAAGUCUGCCUGCUCUGUUAAGGAGCCGACCUUUCCAACUAGCCAGUCUAUUCUUGAUCUUCUCUAAAGAGUCCGAAAAAUAGAUCUAGCAGCUCGAGGAUGAUUAAGGUUCACCCCCAAGUAUUUGCCUAGGUCACUAGUAAAAGAAAUAUGAGAAACACCAGACAACAUAUCCUUCCUUCUAUUAGAGAUAUUUCUAGAACAAAUAGCUUUAGAUUUUUCAAUGUUAACCUUCAUACCUGAAGCUUUACAGAACAACUCCAAGAUGUGCACAACAUUCUAAACUUGACUUUUCUUCGCUUUACAAAAAAGGAGGAGGUCAUCUGCAAACAUCAAGUGAGAAACUCUAGGUCCCCCUCUAGAAACACCCAUACCAUCCCAAAUACCCUCGUCAACUUGUUUGGAAAUGAAGCACGCCAAUCUCUCCAUGCACAAAACAAAUAAAUACGGAGAAAUUGGAUCUUCUUGCCUGAGCCCUCUGCGAGGUUGGAAGCUGUCCAAUCUAUUCCCAUUCCAAAUGAUGGAAAGAUUUGAGGCCUGAACACAAUUCAUUACAAGCCGAAUAAUUAGAGAAGGAAAGCCAAAAGAUUCAAGAGUAUGCUCAAGAAAAUUCCAAUCAACUCUAUCAUAAGCCUUUUCUAAAUCAAUCUUAAAAGCCAUAACUCCUUUUCUAGACUUUGUCCGCUUAAGAAAGUGAAGAACUUCUUGGGCGACAAUAAUAUUAUCAAGUGCUCCUCUACCAUGAAUAAACCCUCCCUGAGUUGGGCUAACAAUCUCAUCCAAAAAUGGUCGUAAUCUAUUAACCAGCACUUUAGUCACUAGCUUAUAAAUUACAUUACAAAGGCUUAUUGGCCGAAAAUCCUUCAAUCUAGUUGGAGGGUCGCACUUAGGGAUAAGAACAAUCAAAGUUUCCAACAAAGAAUGGCUUAACAUCUCCCCUAAGAAUGCUUUCUGAACAGUACGCCAUAUCUCAUGACCCACCACAUCCCAAUAUUCCUUGAAGAAAAAAACUUGAAAACCAUCCGACUCAGGAGCUUUGAACGAGCUCAUAUUAUCCAGAGCUUCUUUAACCUCCAACAUUGUUACUGGUUUAGACAAAUUAUCACAAGCAUCCUGGCUAAGAGAUGGCAUAGGAAUUUCUCCCGUGCAAUUAACCUCAAUAGGCUCAGUAGAACAAAAAAUAUUUUUGAAGAAAUGAACAACCUCCCUUUUGCAAAACUUCCGGAUCAUCAGACCAAGACCCAUCACUGACUAGCAACCCAUGAACCUUGUUAGAUUUUCUUCUAAGGAUGGUUUGCAUAUGAAAAAAGUUAGUAUUUCUAUCACCAUACCGAACUCAUUGAUCUCUUGACUUUUGGUACCAAAGCAAUUCUUCCUGGGCCAAAACUAUAUUAUACUCAGCUCUCAAUUCUUCCUCUUUGUGCUUCAGAAUUGGAUCAUCGUCAGCUUCCAUUUUCCGUUGAAUACGAUUCAAAUACCCUCCAAUUCCCUCUUUUUAAUAAAAAUAUUGGCGAAGACCGUAGAGUUGAAUUCCAACGAAACUUCUUGGACCCCCAGCAACUUCCUAUGGAUGCCAAAGUCUGUACUAUCCCAAGAUUUCUGAACAAUGGCCUUGUAAUCAGGAUGCGUUGCCCAUGCCGCUUGAAAUCUAAAAGGCCGGUUUUCUUUCUUGAUAAGAACUCCUUGACAUCGGAUAAGCAGGGGACAAUGAUCAGAGUGGGAACGGCUGAGAACUUCAACAAAAGCUUCUGAAAAAAGAAGGCGCCAUUCUGUAGUACAACAAGCUCUAUCCAAUCUCUUUGCAAUUUCUUUGUUUCCUUGAAUUUUACGAAACCAAGUAAACCGUCUUCCAGAGGUUGUUAGAUCAAAAAGACCACAAGAAUCUAGAGUACUUGCAAAGAUACUACUGCGAUUUGAAUAGAAAUUACCCCCUUCACCUGAUGAACACUCAAAAUAUCAUUAAAAUCCCCAACCACCACCCACGGGUCCUGAAUGCACAAACAAUAUCAAGCAGAUGACUCCAUAAUUCUACUCUAUUAGUGGCUUGAGGACUGCCAUAAACCGCACUGCAGAUCCAUCUUCGCCCACCACCAUCAAUUUCCAAAGUUACAUAUUGAUUCAUAACCCAAAUAAUUUUACAAGAAAAUUUUAAAUUAGCAGAGAGGAACCAAAUUCCUCCCUUGUGUCCAACAGCAUCUACAAUCCCUACAGGAUAAUAGCCUAAUCUCCCCCAAAAUUCUUUCAUAGUUUCAAACUCAAUAUGAGUUUCCACCAAAAUAAAAAAAGUUGGUUGAAAUUUUCGUACCAACUCCUUACAGUGCACCCGAGACAUCUUAUUUGAUGCCCCCGUAACAUUCCAACUAAUAAUAUUUAAAUGGUCACAAUCCAUAAAAAUUAAAUUAAAUAAUUAGAAUGUUUAAUUAUUCUACCUCACGUUGAUGGACCCCUGUCUCCAAGUGUCUCCUUGUGGACUUGCAUCGCAGAACCAUCAUUCUUCUGUUGAGGUUGGGUCUCCAAGUUUGUUGUUGCACUAACUUUAUCAAGCUCUUUUUGUACUCGAGAAUCCAUUGACAAUGCUUCAGUCGGUGAGUUUUGAAGCGAAAUAGGACGUUGCCUUUUGUGCCCUGCUUUAAAAGAGGGAGUACUCUGAUCCAUGAAAGCCACCUGAGUUGUUCCCAAAGAGUCAAGCGUGGAUGGAAGAUCUUUCUUUUCCUUAGGCCCCACCUUUGCAUUUGAUAAGGACUUCACCUUUCCAUUUGAUGAGGAUCCAGUAUGCAUGCUAUUAGACCCAAAAGAAAAUUUCUUACUCACCAAAUUGGAGCAUAUUACUACAUUGACUUUUUUGGCACCACAUUGUGGCCUUUACCCACUUUUUCCUUGCCUUUUCUACUAACUGUAACACAUUCACCCUCUUUUUGCACGAGUAUCCCUUUCCAUACGUGAGUCUUGCAAAUUAUCAUGCAUAAGAUCUGCUGCACCAUGCUUCUCCAUAAUUGGAAUUGAUUUGGCAUUAAUUCCAAAUUCAAAAGUUAAAUUUUGAUUUUUUACUGGGAUUUGACUACCUUCUACCGUUUUCUCGUUGUUAUCUACAGAAAAAAGUGACGACAAAUUUUUCUCCUUCACCGUGCUUUCCUUCCCAAUGCCAUUGUUGUUCUCUUUCGCACAUUCUCUUGUGACAUGCCCAAAGCAGCUACAUUUUUCACAAAUUAAAUUCAAGUGCUCAUAUUCUAUGUCAUACAUAUGACCAUCAAUUUGAAUUUUUUUUAUAACUGGAAGUUCCAAGUUAAUUUGCACACAUGCUCUUGCAUACUUUCCCCUCUCUGUAGACUUGGUGGCUAAGUCGAUGCGGAUCGGUUUGUCAACAGCUGACGCAAUCAUUUUCAUGCUCUCUCUUGAUAAUAGUUAAUGUUUAAACCUGUUAUUCUUAUCCAAACCAUGGUAGACCCAAAAGUGUUUUCACAAGGUCUGAAUGAAGAACUCCAAGGUUUAACCGCAACAUAGCUUCCGGUAAUCAUCCACGGUCCUCCAAGGAGAACUUUCUCUCUAUCCUCCAAGAGAUCAAAUUUGACUAAGAAAUAGCCAAAACCGACAUCUAGUACCUCAUAUCCUCCUUUGGUUCUCCAGACGCCUUUAAGCCUGUGCGUGAUCGCUGUAUAGCUAAAAUUUUUUCCAAGAAUUUUGAUCACGAUGGCAUCUUUGUAGGACUCUGCCAAUAUCUCUUUUCCUUCCUUAGUGAACGUCACAAUUGGUAUUUCCAAAUCGUCUUGCUUACUAACUACUGUAGCCAUCUUAUCCCCAUCAAGAAAAUCAGCAACCUCCAAAGCUCUCCUUGCUGAGGCACCAACAACUUUAUUUUGUCCAGAAGACAAAAUUAAAUACUAAAGUUUUUUUUAAAUUAUGAAGAGAGAGUGUAUAUAUAUAGAGAGAGUAAUUUCAGCAUAUCAGAUUCAGAUAUACUAAUACUAGUAAACAAUUAAACAUCAAUAAUUCACUUCCUUUGUAUUCAUGGAGAACCAAGAUUAUGUAGCGCUUAUCGUUGGAGUCACAGGUAUGGUUGGGUUUAACAUAGCCCAAUCCUUGAAGAAGCCCGACUGCAAGGGAGGCGCAUGGAAGGUUUACGGAGCAGCCCGCCGUCCCCCGCCCGCCACCUGGUUUCCUGCUUCCAUCGUGGAUGAUUUCAUCAGCUUCGACGCCGUCGAUGCCGCCAACACACAAGCCAGCCUCUCCCCCAUAGCCCACGAGGUCACACACCUCUUCUGGGUGGCUCUUCAGUUUCAGGAAGACGAAGAAGCCAACAUUGCCACCAACAAAGCCAUGCUCCACAACGUUCUCACCACACUCAAAUCUUCCCCUUCUUCCCGCCUCACCCACGUAACCCUCCAAACCGGGACAAAACACUACAUGGGCCCAAUUUUUGACCCGGCCCGGUCAACUCAACUCUUGAGCCAUGAUCCCCCGUUUCACGAGGACAUGCCCCGACUACCGUACCCAAACUUCUACUACGCUCAGGAGGAUCUCCUUGCGUCCCACGCGCCUUCUCUGACGUACUCCGUUCACCGAUCCUCCAUCAUA